This 2925-nucleotide ribosomal RNA is filed under the name Staphylococcus aureus. RNAcentral's name for it is "bacterial LSU rRNA". It matches the Rfam family "Bacterial large subunit ribosomal RNA". The record is from RNAcentral. Lineage: Bacteria; Bacillati; Bacillota; Bacilli; Caryophanales; Staphylococcaceae.
GAUUAAGUUAUUAAGGGCGCACGGUGGAUGCCUUGGCACUAGAAGCCGAUGAAGGACGUUACUAACGACGAUAUGCUUUGGGGAGCUGUAAGUAAGCUUUGAUCCAGAGAUUUCCGAAUGGGGAAACCCAGCAUGAGUUAUGUCAUGUUAUCGAUAUGUGAAUACAUAGCAUAUCAGAAGGCACACCCGGAGAACUGAAACAUCUUAGUACCCGGAGGAAGAGAAAGAAAAUUCGAUUCCCUUAGUAGCGGCGAGCGAAACGGGAAGAGCCCAAACCAACAAGCUUGCUUGUUGGGGUUGUAGGACACUCUAUACGGAGUUACAAAGGACGACAUUAGACGAAUCAUCUGGAAAGAUGAAUCAAAGAAGGUAAUAAUCCUGUAGUCGAAAAUGUUGUCUCUCUUGAGUGGAUCCUGAGUACGACGGAGCACGUGAAAUUCCGUCGGAAUCUGGGAGGACCAUCUCCUAAGGCUAAAUACUCUCUAGUGACCGAUAGUGAACCAGUACCGUGAGGGAAAGGUGAAAAGCACCCCGGAAGGGGAGUGAAAUAGAACCUGAAACCGUGUGCUUACAAGUAGUCAGAGCCCGUUAAUGGGUGAUGGCGUGCCUUUUGUAGAAUGAACCGGCGAGUUACGAUUUGAUGCAAGGUUAAGCAGUAAAUGUGGAGCCGUAGCGAAAGCGAGUCUGAAUAGGGCGUUUAGUAUUUGGUCGUAGACCCGAAACCAGGUGAUCUACCCUUGGUCAGGUUGAAGUUCAGGUAACACUGAAUGGAGGACCGAACCGACUUACGUUGAAAAGUGAGCGGAUGAACUGAGGGUAGCGGAGAAAUUCCAAUCAAACCUGGAGAUAGCUGGUUCUCUCCGAAAUAGCUUUAGGGCUAGCCUCAAGUGAUGAUUAUUGGAGGUAGAGCAACUGUUUGGACGAGGGGCCCCUCUCGGGUUACCGAAUUCAGACAAACUCCGAAUGCCAAUUAAUUUAACUUGGGAGUCAGAACAUGGGUGAUAAGGUCCGUGUUCGAAAGGGAAACAGCCCAGACCACCAGCUAAGGUCCCAAAAUAUAUGUUAAGUGGAAAAGGAUGUGGCGUUGCCCAGACAACUAGGAUGUUGGCUUAGAAGCAGCCAUCAUUUAAAGAGUGCGUAAUAGCUCACUAGUCGAGUGACACUGCGCCGAAAAUGUACCGGGGCUAAACAUGUUACCGAAGCUGUGGAUUGUCCUUUGGACAAUGGUAGGAGAGCGUUCUAAGGGCGUUGAAGCAUGAUCGUAAGGACAUGUGGAGCGCUUAGAAGUGAGAAUGCCGGUGUGAGUAGCGAAAGACGGGUGAGAAUCCCGUCCACCGAUUGACUAAGGUUUCCAGAGGAAGGCUCGUCCGCUCUGGGUUAGUCGGGUCCUAAGCUGAGGCCGACAGGCGUAGGCGAUGGAUAACAGGUUGAUAUUCCUGUACCACCUAUAAUCGUUUUAAUCGAUGGGGGGACGCAGUAGGAUAGGCGAAGCGUGCGAUUGGAUUGCACGUCUAAGCAGUAAGGCUGAGUAUUAGGCAAAUCCGGUACUCGUUAAGGCUGAGCUGUGAUGGGGAGAAGACAUUGUGUCUUCGAGUCGUUGAUUUCACACUGCCGAGAAAAGCCUCUAGAUAGAAAAUAGGUGCCCGUACCGCAAACCGACACAGGUAGUCAAGAUGAGAAUUCUAAGGUGAGCGAGCGAACUCUCGUUAAGGAACUCGGCAAAAUGACCCCGUAACUUCGGGAGAAGGGGUGCUCUUUAGGGUUAACGCCCAGAAGAGCCGCAGUGAAUAGGCCCAAGCGACUGUUUAUCAAAAACACAGGUCUCUGCUAAACCGUAAGGUGAUGUAUAGGGGCUGACGCCUGCCCGGUGCUGGAAGGUUAAGAGGAGUGGUUAGCUUCUGCGAAGCUACGAAUCGAAGCCCCAGUAAACGGCGGCCGUAACUAUAACGGUCCUAAGGUAGCGAAAUUCCUUGUCGGGUAAGUUCCGACCCGCACGAAAGGCGUAACGAUUUGGGCACUGUCUCAACGAGAGACUCGGUGAAAUCAUAGUACCUGUGAAGAUGCAGGUUACCCGCGACAGGACGGAAAGACCCCGUGGAGCUUUACUGUAGCCUGAUAUUGAAAUUCGGCACAGCUUGUAACAGGAUAGGUAGGAGCCUUUGAAACGUGAGCGCUAGCUUACGUGGAGGCGCUGGUGGGAUACUACCCUAGCUGUGUUGGCUUUCUAACCCGCACCACUUAUCGUGGUGGGAGACAGUGUCAGGCGGGCAGUUUGACUGGGGCGGUCGCCUCCUAAAAGGUAACGGAGGCGCUCAAAGGUUCCCUCAGAAUGGUUGGAAAUCAUUCAUAGAGUGUAAAGGCAUAAGGGAGCUUGACUGCGAGACCUACAAGUCGAGCAGGGUCGAAAGACGGACUUAGUGAUCCGGUGGUUCCGCAUGGAAGGGCCAUCGCUCAACGGAUAAAAGCUACCCCGGGGAUAACAGGCUUAUCUCCCCCAAGAGUUCACAUCGACGGGGAGGUUUGGCACCUCGAUGUCGGCUCAUCGCAUCCUGGGGCUGUAGUCGGUCCCAAGGGUUGGGCUGUUCGCCCAUUAAAGCGGUACGCGAGCUGGGUUCAGAACGUCGUGAGACAGUUCGGUCCCUAUCCGUCGUGGGCGUAGGAAAUUUGAGAGGAGCUGUCCUUAGUACGAGAGGACCGGGAUGGACAUACCUCUGGUGUACCAGUUGUCGUGCCAACGGCAUAGCUGGGUAGCUAUGUGUGGACGGGAUAAGUGCUGAAAGCAUCUAAGCAUGAAGCCCCCCUCAAGAUGAGAUUUCCCAACUUCGGUUAUAAGAUCCCUCAAAGAUGAUGAGGUUAAUAGGUUCGAGGUGGAAGCAUGGUGACAUGUGGAGCUGACGAAUACUAAUCGAUCGAAGACUUAAUCAA